This 176-nucleotide unclassified non-coding RNA is filed under the name uncultured Penicillium. Its description in RNAcentral is "sequence contains ITS1". Lineage: Eukaryota; Fungi; Ascomycota; Eurotiomycetes; Eurotiales; Aspergillaceae. The record is from RNAcentral.
CCGAGUGAGGGCCCUCUGGGUCCAACCUCCCACCCGUGUUUAUCGUACCUUGUUGCUUCGGCGGGCCCGCCACUUGUGGCCGCCGGGGGGCACCUGCCCCCGGGCCCGCGCCCGCCGAAGACACCAUUGAACGCUGUAUGAAGAUUGCAGUCUGAGCUUAUUAGCUAAAUUAAUUA